RNAcentral lists this ribosomal RNA (3930 nucleotides) under Triticum aestivum (bread wheat). RNAcentral's name for it is "partial small subunit ribosomal RNA". Lineage: Eukaryota; Viridiplantae; Streptophyta; Magnoliopsida; Poales; Poaceae. The record is from RNAcentral.
GUGAGCAUAAAGGACCUCUAGCCGCGCCGGUCGAACCGAAACAGCAGUGAUCAUGGUGGUGAUAAUUGGUUAGAAAAUGCCGCCGACCGGCCGGGCCCUAUAAGUACAGACGAGAAAAAGAGGCCGGUGUCGGGGGUAGGUGUGCGCGUCACCUUGCUGUUUCGGACCGACCACUCGUGUUUCGAAAUCCGAUGCGAAUCGAUUCGCUCGCUCGGUCGGUCAUUCAUGAUGAUGUCGCGCAUCGUAAUCCAGCGGAAGCAACCUGACAACGCACUCGAUAUAGUGGGGAGAGCAGAGGAGAGAGGGGGGAGCGAGGGUGGGGAAGGGGUUUUAGCAGUUGGGUCAAACCACCCAGCGUCGCGCCGGCACAGCCCGCCUGACGAGACGGCCUCCCUUCCUUCCUCGGCAGUACGCCCCCCAGCGGCCGCCACCGCCCCGGGGCCCGGCCGGCGCCACCCCGCCGCCGAGCCCGCGGUGCUGCGGCGCGAGCGAGUCGUGGCCGAGGAGCGGCGCGCCGAGGCUGGCGUCGAGGCUGCUGCCGCUCCUCGAGCAGCUCCAGUGCGAGCUGGACGUCCUCCUGCUGUGGUAACACGACGCGUCGCAGCUCGGCCGGCGGCGGCGUUUGCGGUUGCGCCGGCGAAGACGGCGGCGGAGCAGCAGCCCCCGCAGCGGCAGCCACUACCCUACCUCGCGCCUCGGUUGCGGUGGCGGGCCCCGCCCGGGCAGCGCCAGCGCCAGCGGCCGCUAGGCCGCCUGGAGCAGCGUGGCCGACGACGUCAAGAGCGUCCUCGAGUUCCGGCCCCACAGGGCGCGGUUCGUUUAGAGCGUCCUGGAGUGGUUCGCGAAGUGCGCGUGGGUCUCGGCGCGGCGGGAGCGGCUCGGGGGAGUCGGGGGCGGCCGGCGCGUGGGCGGCAGCCCGUAGCUCAGGCGGGAGCGGCGGGCGCGGCUCGCGGCGGUCGCGCGCGUCGAGCUGGCGUGGUUCAGGUGGCGCGUCGCGCGGUAGUUCCCAGACGCGAAGUAGUCGCCGUUGUGGUUCCGGUCGUUGUUGCGGACCUAGCUCCAGGUCGCGUUGAAGCUGGCGGAGCGGGAGCUGCCGGCGGAGAGGGCGCGGCUGAAGGGCGUUACGUAUCCCUACUACCUCAGGUUCCUCAAGCGGUACCUCGAGAAGCUGUGCGACACGGCCGCCGCCGUCUACGUCAGCCUGGUGUAGUUGUCCCUCCUCGACGCGCUCUAGACCAGCGUCUAGUGGCUGUUGUCGAAACUGAGCGCGGAGGUCUAGAAGAAGCUGUACCACCUGUUCCUGCGGCUGCCGGUGUAGUGCCUCCGCCUCCACUUUCUCUAGUAGUACGAUUCACGCAGGCGCUUAUUCGACCGCUCCGAAUUCCUCGUUCGUCUCCUUAUGCGGCGCAACUAGUACCUCCUCGAUCUGGGGCUUCCGGAGCCGAUGUAACUCGAAACCGUCAACCUCUGCAACGAUGACGUCUUCCUAUGUAUGCACUUGAUAUCGGUCCGGAACUCGAUGUGUUCGGUCCGUGACUCGGUCUUGGAACGACCGGAUUCCGUGUUCUCGGGCUAGGCUUUUUACUCGUCGUUUAAUUCGAUAAUAGACCUCCUGUUAACCUUUGCGGAGACCCAUGAACGUGACACCUAACCCUAUUACCGACCUAACAAGUAAACCUUUAAAUAGGUCAUGGCGUUAGCCAUGCAUAAAUCACACUACCCGAUGACACAUUGUUAACGUUUCCCCCGACGACUCUGGGAAUUCGACUUGUACCGUGAGUAGGAGGAUGGACAUACGGCGUUGUGGUAAUGAACCGACGCAUUAUGUUCUCGACGUGCCCGUAAUGGCAAGCUACUGUUGUAGUUGAAGGUAUUCUGAUAACGCCGCCGUUAACACCAACCACAAUAGGAAGUACGUCCUUUGGUAGAACGUACACUAAAAGGUGCCGAAUAUCUAAGGAGUCUACUCUGCAUACGAGGUGACGCGGUCAUGAAGCCCCUCUGGUUCGGUUGUAUAAACCGAAAUCAGUCUCCUCACCUCCCACAUUGGCCUCAAUAAUACCAACAGACGUACGAGUAACGAAAAUGAGAUCGUUGGUCCACCAAGGCAGCAUCGGACCACUUCGAAGGGUUCGGUAAACUGUUCGAUUGACCGAAGUUACGGAAGACCAUGAGGGUAGUAGACAAGUAGUAACAUAUGUAUAGUGAACAAUAAGUACCUCUCGCAGAUAUGGAAUAGGACCUAACCAUGUUUUCUUGCUGUACCUACAUAGAACGUCAGGGACAACCCAAUAUACAUCCCCUCUCCUGAGACUCCAAGAAGUCCAGACCGUCAAUGAGACAGGCCUAUAACUUCCACCGGUAUAUAGGACCAUUACAAAACUGUAACGUUUACAGAUUCGGUGGCUGUAAGGCAAUGUUCUCGCCCGUCAUAUACAAACAAGUUACAGGUCGACAAAGUGGUAAACUUACCGUAGGGAAGAGCUAUUGAAGUCGUGGGCCCCUACUAAAAGAGUCAUAGGUACAGGCUGUUGAACCACUGACCUGCGCUCUCGAGUUCGCACAUAAGAGGCGUCGAACACUCGGUGGAUACUUACCCUUUUCACCGGAGGAAUCUCGUCUACUCUUGUGGUUUUUUUGAAAGGGUUUUGAAAACUAACUACCUGGCAUACCAAGAGGACGUGUUCUGAUAUCGUUCAUACUACAAAAUGAUGAACAACCCAAUCCUUAACCACGUUGAGGAAAGUAGUCGUAUAACUUUCUAGACUAAUUGUUGUAGUAGUUUUACCUCCUUCUCCUACUUCGGAGUUGACUAGAAAUGGGUGGUUAGCCUGGGUCAUUCCGUAGACAACUGGAACUGUGGGAAUACUCCUAAUGCAGUUUUGGUUUCUCCCAAAAAUUCUGUUGUUUACGAAUGAAAAUAACCCACUGUGCGCUCGUUCCGAGAAAACUAACCAAAUUUCCUUAGUACUUACUCUAACGACUUGAUCUAGUUUCCUUAUAGUAACUCUACGUGUUGAUAGAGUGUUCACAAAUACUCCUUCCUCUACGGGCCAGUCGUGAGUAGUGUUACGACGUUCGAGAGUUGGUACGGUUCUUGCCGCAGCUACAUCACAGACCUUGAGCUCACGCCUGUGUAAAACGUUCUGGUUUAAAAUUCUCCCACGACAGAUUCCAUCGGAGGUUCGUAGGAAUACGGUUCUAUCCUCACAAGAUAACGCCUCGAGGCCAAGACCGCGUCCUUGAUUCGUUGGAAACGGUACUCAAGUUACCGUUUACGUGCUGUUUUAAACUUAAGGUGUUCCUCGUAAAGACUUUGGUCCAUUUGGCGUGUUAUCCUUUAAUUGUGUCCUAACACAACAUACAUACAGCAGAAACGAACAACGCGCGGUCUGAAACCCCUCGUUCCCUUUCUUAGUGGAUCACGAAACAGCCACGUGACUAACGGUCAAUGCGUUACAAUGAGUUCUUUCCUUCGGCCCCUAGUCGACCAUCAUGUAUGUAAUGUGUAGUUAGUACCUAAGUCUUCAUAUAUAGUGACAGCACGACCACUACUGGCGUGGAGACAUUUUAGAGGAUAUACGCCUACGCCUCAGCUGUGUUUCUGUGACUAGAGGACUUAUACCAAAUACCAAAACUGAUGUACGACCCACUACACUACAUCCUGUUAUCCCUUCCGGUGGUGUCCGUGUUCCGAUUCAUUGACACAUAUAAACGAACAUCGACUCAACAGUCCGGUGUUCAAACCAAGAAGAGUGAAACAUUAAUAUGUCUGCCUUUGUGUCCGUCCCCCUCAUGUCAUGUCAAACUAAGAAAAGAAGAGAAACAUACAUUUUUCAAAUCCAACCAUCACUAACCCAGGCCUAACUCCUGUACUUACCUGAUGUAAGCUCGAACACAACAAACAACACGGUGCUAUCCUAUUGUACG